Schistocerca americana (American grasshopper) is the source of this 75-nucleotide non-coding RNA. The record is from the annotation of a RefSeq genome assembly. NCBI's taxonomy places the organism in Eukaryota, Metazoa, Arthropoda, Insecta, Orthoptera, Acrididae.
GCCCUAGGUGGCUCAGGUGGGUAGAGCGUCUGCCACACAAGCAGGAGAUCCCGGGUUCGAGUCCCGGCCGGGGCA